GUUAUAUAAAAGUUAAAGGGCAAUGUUGUUGCCAUACUUGAUUGUAAAACCGGUUUUAUUUGUAACGGGAGCUACUGCAGUCUAUUACUAUAUAUUUCCUUUAUCCUGGUUUUUCAUCACUUUUGAACAUAGUGGGAAAUCUUUCGGUAUACCAAGAGAGUUUAUGCCAUCAGUUAGCGAAUUAAGCCAAGUAGGGCUUGCAAUACCUAUGCUGAUUCUAUAUGAAUUGUCCAUUCUGAUAUGUAGUUAUAUUGAAAAAAAGAAGACACAGAUUUAAACAAAGAAAUCCCCCUUAUCUCCUUUAUAUCACAUUUUUAACUUAUAACAUUCUUAUUCAGGAUUUAAAUAUAUAGAAAUGUUUCAUAAAUUGAUUGUAAUACUUUGUAAGUACAGCCUUACUUUUGAUGAUCAAUAAUACUUUUUGCUAUUAUUUGAUGAAUAAAUAACAUACUUCUGAUCUAGAAAGUAAGCUAGGCUGCUAGCUUGUCCCGGUUGAGUGUUUAGUACUAUUAAACCAAAAUCCGAAAUUUGCAUAUUAAGUAUUAAUGGUAAUCGAUAUUGGUUGAUGUCAAUUACUUUAUACAUACCAGCAACUUUGGCAAUUUUAAGUUUUUUUAAUUUUCUUGAUAAAGUAGCCUGAGAAAUGUUGUGGCCUCUUUCUUUAAGCAAAGUCUGUAAAUCGCUCUGCUCUAAAAUUUCGUGAUUUUGAAUUUAAAAUAUGUUCACCUAGUGUGUUGUCAUGCAUUAUGCACUUUAUUCAUAUUAGGGGUAUUCUCUUGCUCUUGCAAAACCCGGUGCACGGUGCAAGCAUUGCAGAUUUACAACGGCACAACAACAAACACACGCAGAAAAAUAUUUGCAAGGGCUGUGAAAUAUGUCAGACCAAAACCCAUGUAUAUUAGCGUGCAAUGUCACGCAAAAAUAAAAUUGCAACCCUGUUGUAGUUGCCAUUUUACAUAAAGACAUAUUACGUCGUUAAACUGUUGAGAAAGUUUUUUUGUUAAAAAUGCAUGCAGAAGGUGAGCCAAUUCACAAUAGCCAUGCACAAUAGUCAUUUACAAUAAAUUGACUGAAUCAGUCGCUCAUAUAUCACUAGAUUCUGCAAUGGGUGCUCUCGUGCCCUUGUAUAUUUUGGUGUAGUAUUUUUGCAAUCUGCAAUCUUGCAAGAGCAAGAGAAUACCCCUAUUGAGUAUGUAAUAAGUAUAUUUGAAAUUGUAUUCAUUAUUUCUUGACUAUUCAAUUUUUAAUGUCUAUGUAUUUUUGUAUGUACCACCUUUUCCGCACUCACCGUAUAAUUUUCUUUCAAAAUUGCGAUAAAAAAUUCGUUUGCACUUCACUUCAAGUUGUUAUCAACUUUUGAAUUUAUUUUCUUAUAAAAGUAUAAAACACAAAUCAACCCAAGAGGUUCGCAAACUUGUAAUGUAAAUGUAAAUGUAAGCUUUCCGAUUUAUUUUUACAACAUAGGUAUAUAAUAUAUAAACUUUAAUUUUUAAACGAGAUGCUCGCAAAAAAUGUAAAAAAAGGUAAAACUUUCAAUCUUCCCAAAAGGUAAAAAAUAUUUUAAAUUAACCAAAAAUGUUCGCCAAAAAAGAAUCGUGUGGAUCGGACCGAUGUCGUAGCGCCAGAAUGGUUUUUGAUCAAGUUGUCUGUCCUUUUGUUACUUUGGUUCGGCGAAAGUAGAUGAUGGUGUGUGAUGUCACUGUGUGCGUGUGUUAGAGCGUGGUGUAUAAUGUGAGGAAAAUGAUGAUGAGUGUGGGGAAUGUGGCGUACCAAUGUUGCAUAUAUACAUAGAUGUGGGCAGAAGGGGGAAGGCUGAUACCCAUUUAGCCAUCCUGGGCCCCCUAGGCAUGGGGCGGAAGCAUACACAUUUGGCACACAUAGCCGGACGUACACUGGCGUUGCUGAGGUGGCAUCCCUUUAAAUAUGCCGCGGUGUGGCAACCUGUAAGAACGGCAACACAGAGGGCAUCGGAUGCAAGGUGGCUAAUUAUAUUGCGACGUCGGAGUUGCUCGAGUUGCACUGCGUGCAGCGGUUGACAGCGUUGUUGCCGUGGUGGAUCGUGGCGCUGGCAGCCCCAGGGCGUGGAACAUGGACAGCCGAACGGAUGGUUGGCAUUGGUGUUGUUGCCGCAUCGAUAUCCAUAUUGAUCUAUAGAAGAGGUUAUCGUCAUUAGAUAUUUGUGAAAUAUAGUGAUGAACUAUGUUGCCAGUGGGUCGUCAUGUGGAUCGACCCUUUUAUGUUAUUUUUGGUUUUAAUAAAUUAUUGUUUGUGGUAUA
Bactrocera dorsalis (oriental fruit fly) is the source of this 2276-nucleotide long non-coding RNA. RefSeq lists it as uncharacterized. The record is from RefSeq and is a predicted model, not a curated record. NCBI's taxonomy places the organism in Eukaryota, Metazoa, Arthropoda, Insecta, Diptera, Tephritidae. The transcript is spliced from 2 exons.